UACGUAGGGUGCGAGCGUUAAUCGGAAUUACUGGGCGUAAAGCGUGCGCAGGCGGUUUUGUAAGCCAGAUGUGAAAGCCCCGGGCUUAACCUGGGAAUGGCAUUUGGGACUGCAAGGCUUGAGUGCGGCAGAGGAGACUGGAAUUCCUGGUGUAGCAGUGAAAUGCGUAGAUAUGUGGAGGAACACCGAUGGCGAAGGCAGCCCCCUGGGUCAAAACUGACGCUCAUGCACGAAAGCGUGGGGAGCAAACAGG
Molecule: ribosomal RNA, 253 nt
Filed under: uncultured bacterium
Lineage: Bacteria
Description: partial 16S ribosomal RNA
Rfam family: Bacterial small subunit ribosomal RNA
Source: RNAcentral